Molecule: RNA transcript, 11410 nt
Organism: Centrocercus urophasianus (Greater sage-grouse)
Lineage: Eukaryota; Metazoa; Chordata; Aves; Galliformes; Phasianidae
Gene: TNFAIP3
Gene name: TNF alpha induced protein 3
Exons: 11
Source: RefSeq, a predicted model, not a curated record
GCUGCUGUUGUCACAUGUCGGAAAGUCCCAAGCGCUGACGGUGGAAAUCCCCGCUGGGGUUUUUUUUUUUGUUGUUUUUUUUUUUUUUUCUUUUUUUUUUUUUUUUCCUGUCCAGGCGCUGAAACAGAAAGGGGAAAGAAAACAAGAGGCUGAGCUCAGCCCUUCAUUCCGCGGCAGAGGUAGCGGCGGCAGCAGCUCCGCAUCGGAGAGGGGGGCGGCGGACGGGAACGCGGCCAGGUCAACCCAGGCCUGCUGCCGGCCGCUCGUUGAUGGCGACCGAGCCCGGCUGCGUGCCUUCGCCGCGGCCCGGCUGCUGAACAGCAUUCACCGGCGGAUCGAUCCCGUGCCCGGAGGAGCUCGCCGGUAGAGAGAUUUUGUCUAGGAACAUGGCUGGCCAACACAUCCUUCCUCAGGCUUUGUAUCAGAGCAACAUGCUGAAGGCUGUGAAGAUUAGAGAGAGGACACCUGAAGAUCUGGUCAGACCUCCCAGUGGAAUAAUUCACCACUUCAGGACUAUGCACAGAUACACUAUAGAAAUGUUCAGAAUGUGCCAGUUUUGCCCUCAAUUCCGGGAAAUGCUUCAGAAGGCCCUGACUGACCAAGCCACCCAGACUUCGCUGGAGCGCCAGAGGAAGCUGAACUGGUGCAUGGAGGUCAGGAGACUUGUGCCUUUGAAAACUAAUGGUGAUGGAAAUUGCCUCAUGCACGCUGCAUCGCAGUACAUGUGGGGUAUUGAAGAUGUUGACCUCGUCUUAAGGAAAACGUUGUUUAGUGCACUCAGGGAGACUGACACACAGAACUUCAAGCUGCGCUGGCAGCGGGAGGCUAUUAAAUCCCAGGAGUUUGUGCAAACAGGACUCCACUUUGACACCCGGAACUGGGAGGAGGAGUGGGAGUACCUCAUUGAAAUGACCUCCCCGGAAACAUCUGGCGCUCGAAACAGACUUCCUUAUAAUGCACUGGAAGAAAUCCACAUCUUUGUUCUUGCUAAUAUCCUCAGAAGACCAAUCGUUGUCCUUGCAGAUAAAGUUGUGAGAAGUUUAGAAUCAGGCUCCAGUUUUGCUCCUCUGAACGUUGGUGGUGUUUACCUGCCACUCCUCUGGCCAGCUGAAGAAUGCUACAGAUAUCCAAUUGUGCUCGGCUAUGACAAUAUGCAUUUUACACCACUUGUGACCCUGAAGGACAGUGGGCCAGAAAUCCGGGCUGUCCCUCUGGUCACCAGCGAACGAGGCAGAUUCGAGGAUUUGAACGUGCACUUUCUGACAGAUGCAGAGGAGAGGGAGAAGGAGCAGCUGCUGAAAGACUACUUGAUAGUCAUAGAAAUUCCAGUGCAAGGCUGGGAUCAUGGCACAACUCAUUUAAUUAAUGCUGCAAAGUUGGAUGAAGGCAACCUGCCCAAAGAAAUAAAUCUUGUGGAAGAUUACUUUCAACUGGUGCAGCAUGAGUACAAGAAAUGGCAGGAGCAUGCUGAACCUGCCAGAAAAGAGGCCUGCUCCAGGAACAGACAGGAACUGUCUUUUUCCCAGCUCUCCCUCUUACAGGUGAAAUGUGAAACUCCAAACUGCCCUUUCUAUAUGUCUGUGAACACCCAGCCCUACUGCCACGAGUGCUAUGAGCGGAGGUCACAAGGAAACAAAGGAAGAAAGCAGGUCUCUGAAGCAGCACCUGAGAAACUGAAGGCAGCUGGGUCGGGCUGUGGUAAAGCUUGUGAACCUGGGGGGUGGAUGUCUGAGGAGGCUGUAACAGGGCCUCGCUCUGCACCCCCAACUGCUCCCAGCCUUUUCCUCUAUAGUGAAACCACUGCCAUGAAAUGCCGGACUCCAGACUGCCCCUUCACCUUAAACGUGCAACACAACGGACUUUGUGAACGCUGCUACAAUGCCAGACAGCUUGCUCCUUGUAAUAAUUUAGAUGACCAGAGAUGUUUGGACUAUGCCACGUGUAAAGUCUGCCUUCAGAAGGCCAAUAGGACAUUUAAUGGCAUAUGCAGCACUUGUUUCAAAAGGACUACAGAGCGCUCCUCGAAUGGCAGCCCUGGUUUUGUACCCACGUGCCAUCAGAGAUCUACAUCUGACCCAUCCCAGAUCCCACAGAGCCUCCUUCAGCAUUCCUGCCAGCAAGCUCCCAACAACAAUUGUGAUGAGCUGCCGUUGGCUGCACUGCCUCAUGCCCCACACACUUUGGAAGAGAAGAAGGGAAGUAAGCUCUGCAGGAAGCCUGGCUGCAAGUUUUUUGGAACAGCUCAGAAUGAGGGCUUUUGCACGCUGUGCUUCUUUGAAUACAGGGAAAACCAUGACAGUGCUUCACUACGCCAUCAGAGGAGAUCUCAGAGGAGUUCCUCAGCAGCUGGUCAACAGGGGAGCUCAGCUGCCGCUUUCCACAAUAUGUCUUGCCAGCAGCAGAACUGUGGCACCCUGGGUAGCACCAUGCUGGAGGGUUACUGCCAGAACUGUUUCAUUAAAGCCCAGAGCCAGCGAUUUCAGGAAGCCAGAAGGACAGAAGAGCAGCUAGUAAGACAGCCUGAAAGAACAGGACAGCGCAGAGAUCUACAGCGAGCAGCACUGACUAGCCAGAAGAGACAGUGUGCUGUGGCUUCGUGUCGAAACAACCUGGCCUGCAGAAGCAGUGAGCUGUGCCAGCAGUGCCAGCGCGUUGGCCAGCUUGUGCAGCUGGGGGGUCCCAGGGAGCCAGCCACAGAUGAGCCUCCGAAGCAACGCUGUCGAGCCCCUGCUUGCGACCACUAUGCUGAGUGAAGCAGAGACAAGUAGACACAAGAAAAAGUACAAACAAGUUCUUUAUUCUGCAACUCCGUUUGAGCACUCUAAAGAUAGCAUCAAGGACUGCAUGGAAAUCCCCUGGAUACACUUUGUAAUUUUUUCCGGUGAAUCUCGGGAUAGCAAAUAUGAAAGGCAAGGGUAUUCUUUGGACAUACAAGAACCAGGAUGAAAUUUGCCCAGAUGGAGCAUGUGGAGCAAGAUACACGUCCCUGCACUAAACAGUUACGUACCAUUUCCACAGUUUCUUUGAGUGUUGAAGAAAUGUAUUUGAAUUCCCAAAAAAUUCCCAGCUCAGGCCCUGUAUGUUUCCAGUGUAGGAAACCAGUGUAAGUGCAGUAAUAUGAAGGCAGGACUGUUUGGACGGAGUGUUAACUGCAAGACACUUGGUACUGUUACCAAGGACAAAGUCUGCUCCACUUGCAUUAAUAAUACAUUUAAAGAAACAGGCUUUUCCUUUGCUGUAGAUGGAAUUGCAUCAUAGAACCACAUGUCUCUAUCAUCAGUUCUCCUCCUAACAGAGCAAAAUGGUGUCAAACUGCAAGCUGGAGCACUGGGCAUAGUUCUGCGAAUUACUUCUGGUUGGUUCAGCUUCUUUGAAUCAUAGAGAUGUAUGCAAGAGUUUGUAUCCAGCUUAUGCAAUGAUAAAGGUUAUGAAUGGGGGGAUAUAAUUGACCAUUUAUUUACUCUGAGGUUUUCAAAGUUAUCAAGGGAGAUGAAAAUAAACCACUGUGGUGUGAACAAGGAAGCAAAGUGAGAAGUUCAUCUCCUCUCUAGUUGGCUGUUAGCUAUUACUGUGGUGAUUUAUUGCCAUAAUCAAAGAAGAAACACCCUCCUUGCAGUGGAAAAAUGUUCCUAAUAAAGAUAAAAUUGUAAUCUCAGUGAGAAUUGGGAAGUACCAGUAAAAGCUUAGAAUUACUACCAUGGAAAAAAGAUCUCAGCAAUGAGAAAUACAGGGGAAAAACCACUUCUCCUAGCUUGUUUAUACAUCCACAAACUGCAUAAUUCUUUUUUACCUCUGCAACAAACAAACUCAUGCUAAGAUAUUUGCCCGUUGUGCCCUCCUACCCUCUUUGUUGUUUUCAGGUUAUAAUUCUCCUGUAUUAAAAUGUGUUUGUUCCAGCGGGUCUGGACUGCUAAUCCAUCUACUUUAUACUGUUUUACAGACUCUUCCGUCUCUUUAAUUUUUACCAUUCUGUUAGUCUUUCCCACAGAAGAAAAAGUUGAAUUAGACCAAAUCUGGCAAGGAUCUCUGUAGAAAAUAAGUAGAGAAGCCAUGUGCUGAAGAUUACUUACUGCCAACCUACUUAUAAGUUUUCCAUUUCAAAGUGCACGCUGUUUUUUUGCAGUGAGAGUUUCUGUAUUUUUCUGACACAACAUUGUAUACUAUUGAAGCAAGUACCUCACAGAAGUCUACAUUAUUCCUUUUACAAAUCAUACUAGAAACUGAUGUCAGAAAAGCAUGUUUUUUAUUAAUUAACGUGGAAUCACAGGAGCAAUUGUGCUUUAAGUAACUUUUGCAAGAUUUGCGGGUGUAAGUUGGAUUCAGGAAAAGUGAUGUUAUUUACUUAUAUCACAUAAGAACAGCACUUCCCAUUACACUUACAGGUAAGACAAAUUGAAAAAAAAAAAAGAAAAAAAAAAACCAGGAAGUUUACAGAACACUUUUCACCUUUGCAUUAUUUAGAAUUGUUUACCUCCAGAGGAGAUGCUUACUACUUCUGAGUUGAAUUUGAUGAUAAAAAUUCUUGAUUGCCUUUAGUUUUGCUAACCUUUGAUUUUCUCUCAACGUGAUUGCAGGUUGGACAAGCGAAGAAGUCCAAAAUAUUGCUAAGUUCCUCCUAUAAAUGUCCACAUGCUGUUUUUGUAAAAUGAAAUUAUAUUGAAAAGAUCUAAUCAUUUUACACAGGUCAAAAUUGACCUACAGUGGUAUAACACAGCGUAAAAGUUCACCAAUAACAUUAACUUUUAUUAGUCCCUGUAUACCCAUCUAAACCCCAUGAAACAUAAACAAAGUGAAGGCCUUAGAAAAGUUUCAUACCAGGCAAAUUUUUUACCUAUCCUCUGUCCCAAACGUGUAAACUACCACAUCUUCUGCCAUCCUGCACUAGACUUCGGGGAGUUUCAAUCCCUGUAUGUGGGUGAGAAGUGGUCACACUAUAAGAAACAACUCAGAUGUCAAAUGAACUAAUGGAUGACACAUCGUGUGUACUAGCUUACAGUUCAACCUUCAGGUUUUGGCAAAAUGUGGUAAUGCAGAAAGUUCUCUCCUCCUACAUGUCUGCACAAUUCAUCCAGCUCCACUGCCAUAUUCCUGCUGCUGAGUUGUUCCCACACAGCAGAGAAAAGGUUCCUUUUCUUUCAGCCUGGAAAAUGUGAUGGCUUUUAUUUGUAGUUCCACUUAAUUGUUGUGUUGUACCAAGGCUAAACAAACUACAAACAUGAUUAAAAGCAAUUUAUAUAUUAUUCUUUUCCUGUGUUAAAUAGGAGAAAAUGAUGUGUUAUGGAUUUCCUCCACCAGGACACUGAAAACUUUCAGCAGGAAAGCAUUAAUUUAAGAAAUAGUAAUUCAUGUAUUUGCACUGAGGUUUACCUAGGAGCAUAAGCAAAACAGCGAGGGCUUUCUGCCUCCACUCCCAUGUGGAUAAAGCAGAGGAUAGUGCAUCCCUGAAGUAGAAACAAAAACUCCUAUUCUUACACACAUUCUCUCUAUUAACGUUUUGUGUAGUGGAUAUUUCUUUGGUCCUGCUCAGUGGUGGGGUUGCGUCAGAUCUGUGCUUGGAAACAACCAAAGGAAAGCCUUUUUUCAAGAGCAAUGUCCAUUUAUCUGAUUUCCACGUCCCUCUCAUCUCCAAUGACUCUGUGUUGGGGCUCUCAGGACUGAGGACACCUCAGGGCCAUUUGUCACCAGAAUAUUUUUAUCUAGUAGGUCUGAACAGUAACUUUUGUCUCUUCAUUCUUCUAUUGGUCUCACAUGGCAAGGUUUCGUUAGCAUGGGGGCUGCAGGGGGGUGGUCUCUGUGAAGAGAGCUCAGCAGAUGCCCAUAGCAGACAAGAGCCUGUUCAAGCUGGCUCCAAAGAGGCCCACUGCUGGUUUGGGCAUUUGCAAAAAAAGAGGUUUGUAUUUGUGACUACAUGAGAUUAACAUGUUGUCUCUUUAAACAAAAUUAAUUGCCAAGAAGAACCACACAAGCCGACAAAAACAGUGAUCAAAAUGAAGAGAGAAAGCAGAGGGGUUUUGCUGACUUUUUAUUAAAGGGACGCAGCUUCUGCCCAUUUGUAAAGUUACCAAAACAACAUAUGAUUUUUUUCAAUAUCAUUGUAUGUUAUGUCAAAAUCUUAACAUAGAAUUGUUGCCUGGCACAAUACAAUGUUACUGAAAGCAUAGGUAAAAGCAAGGGACAGCAUACACUUACAUUCUACCUUGCUUUCCUCUACAAAUAACAGGUUGCUUAAACAAAGCAAGUAGUGAGAGGAAAAUGAGAUCUUGCUUGCAGCUAUGUUUAUUUUGUCACCAGAAUUAAGUUUAUCAGGUUAAGUUAAUCACUGAAACUAAAAGGCAUCAUCUCAUUGAAAAUGGUGAGAAACAGGAAAAGUCAUACCACACCCAGAAACCAUGCUGGCAUUGUCACAGAAUAACCUGACUUUCCUCAACAAGUGACAAGUGAUUUUUUCCAACCUACAGAUGGUUAUUUUUGUCCUCCCACUUCUGGCUUGAUCAAAACCCACACAUCUAAAUAAAAGAUCUUAAUAAUAAAUCCACAUUUAAAUACUCACCCAGGCUGGAUGAGUCUGAUCGCUGUGCCAACAGGCAGUACAGGGGCUCUUUCUCUGUUUGUCUUCCUUCACUCUCCCAGGGAUGCUGUGGUGUACCACUGAGCCACCUAGCAGCACCUCCACUUCUUCUUCUUGGACCAUGCCCAUACUCUGCUAUCCGGGGGAAUGUGACCACAAAAACAGAUUUGAUGUCAUUUGUUCAAUACCCGUGUGAAAGAAAUCAAGGAUGAUUUUGACAAAUGUCUCCUAGUUGUCCUUGGCCUCGUAAUUAUACAGACUCCUCCUCCCCAGUGACAUGAGGGAAACAAACCAUUUGUGCUGACUUAUCUGCACAGAUUUAAUGUGGCUUAUCAUUACAAUACUGACUUAAAUAGAUCAUACAGAUGUUUUGCUAAACAAAGUGGUUUAUUCAGACUUAGAUAACUUUUUUUUUAUACUUCUUUUCUUUCGUUUGUCCUAGGUACAGCAUUUCCACAGACAUGUUUCAAGAAUAAAUUCUACCAACUUGUAGAUUGUAUCUCUCCUCUCUAAACCAUCACUACUAUAAAAUCUAAGUUGGAAGCAUGGUGUGAUUCAUGCAACCUCUUCCUUUCCCACGUGAAAAUAUUUCUUGCUCCUCAGACACUUUAGGAGUCUCUCACACGUUCAUAUACGCGAGGAUCAAAUGUUUAUACAUAAAUCUCAAUUGUUCUUUAUUUCAGUUCAGCUUGAGUUGACUCAGAUGUAGCUUACAUUUCCAACCACAUCUCUCCAAGCGAUGUGAAAAUAUUCUCAUAUUUCUCCAAAGUGUCACAGGGUACUUCCAUCCAUUUCUUAAGCAAAAACAUCAGACGGGAAGUAAGCCUGUGGCUGGAGUCAGCAUACCAUGCACAUCCGUCUGAUAUCCCCAAAAGGUACCUUCUGUUCCCACCACUCCACCAUCUUCCACGGGGUGACAGAUCUCCACAGUUUCCCUGUAUGCAUGGUCUCCCAUCUGUUUUGGAGUCCUGAUAUCUUCAUCUCUGCGCUUUCCAGUGUCAGAGGCUCAUUGCUGCCUGUCCAUGCCGGGAAGGUGUUGUGAGUACUGUGGACCUCGAGUCAUUAGUUUGUGGUUGCACAGCCGCCGUCUCACAGUGAGAGUGCUGUGACACUGCCAGCUGUGAAAAGUUUCCCUGUGGGCAGAUUCCCCUUCCCAGUUCCUCUUUUAGCAACUUUUUGCCUCCUUCUCUCUCACCGCAGCCUCCUGGCUGCUUGGCCAGCAGCCUGCUGCCUGCUGUCAUCUCUGGUGCAAACAAGCACCACAAUUGAUUUGAGAAAUUUGCAGGACUUCACAGCUCCCAAGGAAUGAGCCUAAAUGUUUGAAAAUAUCUAACAGGGACAGACUUUUUUUGUGCCAUGUCUUUUUUUUUUCUUUUUUUUUUUAAUUUUAGUGAUUUGCUAAGGUGCUCAGUGUAAGUAUAUUUAAACACGGUUUACAGCAACAGCAGCAUUUUGUCUUCAACUGACCACCAUUCUGUAGUCAAAGACCGGGUGAAAGACCAAGGAUGAAAUGUUGCAGAUGCCCAUGUUUCUGUUUAUGUGCUGAUGGGGACAAGUCACUGUUAGUUGGAAAAGAGGUGACACGGUUGUGGCUGCUCGCCUGUGUUCUCUUGUAUUGCUUCUCUGCCUCUAAGAAAGAGUGACACCAAGAGGGAAGAAGUUCUUGAUUUUUUCUAGGAGGUUAUUCAGGGCCACCUGUUGCAGAAUUAAGAAAUGUUUCCACCAAGAGAUUAGCAGCCUACACAGCUGCAAGUAGCUUUAAUCCACUUUGUGCUCGGGAGCACACACAGGCACUGGGCUUUGUGCUGAGCUAUUUUCACUUAUUGCUGCAUCUGUUUUCAGUGGAAAGUGCUGAAGACCUGCUUGUCCUCUGGGAAGAGCCAAGGGAGGCCGCAGAAACAGCUGUUCUGCAUGAGCUGCACCCAUCCCCUGCCUCACACAGUCAGACCCUCAGCUGGGCAAGGCAGGUCUGGCAUAUGAGGUGUCUAUGUUUUGGAGAAUGUGAUGUGGGCGUACAGCCGUAUCUUAUCUCCUGCCAGUCAGAACAAGCUGCCCUGCUGCCACCCUGGCACAAGAUUAAGUUUGAUUUGUAACUCACUAAAGAACACUACCAAAUGGCCAAUGAAAAGAGGUACUCAGGUUUUCCAGAGAAACUACCCAGUCAUCUGUAGUCCUCCGCAGACUUCUUUGAUACCUGACUUUGCUGAGGAGGCACCUCCACAGAGGUAUGCAUGUGCCCUUUCUCUUCCUCUACCUUGAACAGAUGGCAGUUUGCCCCUACACUGUCUCACAGAGUUGUCAGCCCGUGAGGAUUCUUCAAGACUUUCAGUGUUUUGCUUAGGUGAGCAAGGUUUAAAAUGGCACAAGAGCCUGGGAAAAUUGUUCCCCCAAGAACCACUUCCUGCCGUUACGCUACACUGUUUUUGUUUUCAGCUUGAGGUGUCACAUAGGUACCAUGUGUAUAUGUUGCCUCCCUCUUCAGUAAUUUUCUCUGUUUCAUAAAAGGAGAUCCAGGUGAAUCCAGUGUCUGUUGAAGGUGGAGAAAAGGCACAAGCUUCAGUAGCUGACUCUGCAUUAUACAAAUACUCCAAGAAGGACUAAAGCAUGGAGUACUCUUCAGACCUUUGGGAGAGAUUUGACCUAUGUUUCUUUCUACAAGUGAAAAAGAGAGAUAAUGUAACUAGAAUGAACCAGAUAAACAACUCAUACUUUCCUGAGCACUGACUGCCUCCAGUUCUGCCUUGGCAGUGCACAGUUCUAAACCCAUUGCUUUGAAGGCUGAGUUACUAGCACAGCAGAGAAGGGUCUGUGUACUAAAGCGUACUCAUGAAUUGAUUAAAAUAGCAAAAUGAGAAGAUCAGAGAAGAACCCCUUCUCAAGCUUCAUGCAAAUUAGAGUGUUGUUACUGAAACUGACCUGAGCAGCCAUUAAAAUUCUUACCACUCUUGGGAGUAUCACGAGUCAGGCAGGAUGCUGCUCAUCAAUAUCCUGCAGUUCUCCCUUAAAGGAAGGCCCCAGAAAAUUCCACUGCUAUCUGCUUCCCUGAGGGAGGUGUCACCUCUACCUGCCUGUGGAACACCAUAUAGAUUUACAUGGCUUUGCAUGUCUGCCAGAGGAGCACAGGGGUGCCCUGUGCCAGCAGCUUGAAAUCUCUUGUUACCACCCCUGCAGAUCUGAGUGUGGGAGGUACGUCAGCAUAUGGGUUAACACCAGAAGCCUUCCAAGAGAGCUUCCUGGCAGCUCUUCACUUCGAAACUUUACUGAUGCUGGGAUUGCUGGUGAAAAAAAACCAAAAAACAACACACAAACCAGUACCAAAGAUAGAAAACUCUUGAAGCUAAAAAUACAGAGUAACCAUGGGUAUUGUGUGCGGUUGAAUGAGGGGAAGUACUUGACCUUGUGCCCUGGGUUCCAGAUGAGCAGUUGAAUCAUUGUCUGACAGCUGGCUUUUUCAUCUGUUUUAAUCAGUGACGUUAUGUGCCACAUCUUUAAAAAAAAAACAUACAUAAUUUCAUACAAGAAUUUGCCUAUGGCAAUUUGUGCCAGUUGCUAAAGGUACACACAACAGUCUGUAUCCAUGAGCAGCAAGGUACAUUUUGUGUAGUACAUUGAAUGUGUACUACUUACAGCCACGUACACAGGAAGAAGGUGAACAAAAUAUGCACUAUGUGAAGAGAGGACUCAAGGACAUUGGAGUUCAAUUACAACAACUUACUAUUCAUAGAAUCAUAGAAUCACAGAAUGUGUUGUGUUGGAAGGGACUGCAAAGAUCAUCUAGUUCCAAUCUCCCUGCCAUGGGCAGAGUUGCCAACAACUAGACUGGACUGCCAAGGAACCCAUCCAGCCUGGCCAUCCCUCCAGGGAUGGGGUAUCUACAACCCCUCUGGGCAGCCUGAGACAGUGCCUCAUCAACCUCUGAGUGAAGAAUUUCUCCCUAACAUCUAACCUAAACCUCCCUCUUUCAGAUUAAGUCUGUUCCCUCUGGUCCUACCACUAUCUACUUGCGUAAAAAGUCGAACCCUUUCCUGCUUGUAAGCUCUUUUCAAGUAUUGAAAUAUUGCAAUUAGGUUUCCCUGGAGCCUUCUCUUCUCCAAGAUGAACAAUCCCAACUCCCUCAACCUUUCAUUAUAGUAGGAGUGCUCCAGCCCUCUGAUCAUCUUUAUGGUCAUCCUUUAGACCUGCCCCAACACCUCCGCAUAUUCAGAUUGUCUAUGAAUCUUUUCUGGAGUCUUGUAUCUGAAUAAGAGAAUUUUGUGGGUUAUGUGGGAAUUCCAGACAGAUUAAUUCUGUUCUUGAGCCUCCCACAAAUUUCCCACAUAUCUUAUACAGAACAUCUGACCUAUCAACGCCUCAGUUUGUUGGAGUUUUUUUGUUUGUUGUUUUUAUUUUCUUUUGUUUUUAAAUAGUGUUCACAUUGACACUGCUUUGUAUAAGACUUUCGUAAACUAGACAAGGUGUCUGAGACGUCACAUGGAAGCAUAUUUAUCUAAUGAUGUCGCCUAGUGCUGGUGCGAUGAGCAAAAGACACCCUUAUCCUUUGAAGGUAAGAUGUUUCUGUAAGAGAAAAUGGUGGUCAGAGCUAGGGUGGUGAUCAGCAAGCUCUAAAGAGAGGUUCAUAAUCACAGCUCUCUUUCUAUCUGUCAUCAGAACAAGCAGUUUCAUCGAGGGGGAUGCAAGAUUAUCUGGGACUCUUAAGAAAUCCCUCAUUUCCCUAUUUGAGAAAGCUGCAAUCACGUGUUUUCUCCGAAUUUGUAUGAGUUCUGGUCAUGUUACUAGAAAAUACAUACAGAAUUGAGACUUACUGGCAAUCGAUGUAAGUACUCAAAAAGUUAGUAAAUAAAU